RNAcentral lists this transfer RNA (73 nucleotides) under Nanopusillaceae archaeon. RNAcentral's name for it is "tRNA-Pro". It matches the Rfam family "tRNA". From Rfam's summary of the family: Transfer RNA (tRNA) molecules are approximately 80 nucleotides in length. Their secondary structure includes four short double-helical elements and three loops (D, anti-codon, and T loops). Further hydrogen bonds mediate the characteristic L-shaped molecular structure. tRNAs have two regions of fundamental functional importance: the anti-codon, which is responsible for specific mRNA codon recognition, and the 3' end, to which the tRNAs corresponding amino acid is attached (by aminoacyl-tRNA synthetases). tRNAs cope with the degeneracy of the genetic code in two manners: having more than one tRNA (with a specific anti-codon) for a particular amino acid; and 'wobble' base-pairing, i.e. permitting non-standard base-pairing at the 3rd anti-codon position. RNAcentral also lists the same sequence under 1 other name. The record is from RNAcentral. Lineage: Archaea; Nanobdellati; Nanobdellota; Candidatus Nanoarchaeia; Nanoarchaeales; Nanopusillaceae.
GGGGAGGUAGUUUAGCUUGGGAGAAUGCAGGCCUUGGGAGCCUGUGACCUGGGUUCAAAUCCCGGCCUCCCCA